This 460-nucleotide ribosomal RNA is filed under the name uncultured bacterium. Its description in RNAcentral is "partial 16S ribosomal RNA". It matches the Rfam family "Bacterial small subunit ribosomal RNA", at positions 28 to 507 of the family's 1533-position model. The record is from RNAcentral.
GACGAACGCUGGCGGCGUGCUUAACACAUGCAAGUCGAGCGGUAAGGCCUCUUCUGGGGUACACGAGCGGCGAACGGGUGAGUAACACGUGGGUGACCUGCCCUCAGCUCUGGGAUAAGCCUGGGCAACUGGGUCUAAUUCCGGAUAUGACCUUUCCUCGCCUGGGGUUUGGUGGAAAGUUUUUUCGGGUGGGGAUGGGCCCGCGGCCUAUCAGCUUGUUGGUUGGGUGAUGGCCUACUAAGGCGACGACGGGUAGCCGGCCUGAGAGGGCGACCGGCCACACUGGGACAGAGACACCGGACAGACUCCUGCGGGAGGCAGCAGUGAGGAAGAUUGAGCAAUGGGCGGAAGACGGACGCAGCGACGGCGAGGGGGGAAUGACGGCGUGCGGGUAGUAAACCUCAUUAGACAACGACGAAUUGGGACGGUAGGGGUAGAAGAAGCACCGGCCAACUACGUG